This 485-nucleotide ribosomal RNA is filed under the name uncultured bacterium. RNAcentral describes it as "partial 16S ribosomal RNA". It matches the Rfam family "Bacterial small subunit ribosomal RNA", at positions 28 to 507 of the family's 1533-position model. The record is from RNAcentral.
AUUGAACGCUGGCGGCAUGCCUUACACAUGCAAGUCGAACGGCAGCGGGCCCUUCGGGGUGCCGGCGAGUGGCGAACGGGUGAGUAAUGCAUCGGAACGUACCCGGGAUAGGGGGAUAACCGGCCGAAAGGCUGGCUAAUACCGCAUGAACUCGGAAGAGCAAAGCGGGGGACCUUCGGGCCUCGCGCUCUCGGAGCGGCCGAUGUCCGAUUAGGCUAGUUGGUGGGGUAAAGGCCCACCAAGGCGACGAUCGGUAGCGGGUCGGAGAGGACGGUCCGCCACAUUGGGAUUGAGAACAGGCCCAGACUCCUCGGGGAGGAGCCAGUGGGGAAUCUUGGACAAUGGGGGCAAGCCUGAUCCAGCAAUGCCGCGUGGGUGAAGAAGGCUUUCGGUUUGUAAAGCCCUUUCGGCGGGGAAGAAAUCGGUCAGGCUAAUAGGCUGGCCGAAUGACGGUACCCGCAGAAGAAGCACCGGCUAACUACGUG